This 429-nucleotide ribosomal RNA is filed under the name Chloroflexota bacterium. RNAcentral's name for it is "Chloroflexi bacterium partial 16S ribosomal RNA". It matches the Rfam family "Bacterial small subunit ribosomal RNA", at positions 355 to 776 of the family's 1533-position model. Lineage: Bacteria; Bacillati; Chloroflexota. The record is from RNAcentral.
UGGGGAAUAUUGCACAAUGGGCGCAAGCCUGAUGCAGCCAUGCCGCGUGUAUGAAGAAGGCCUUCGGGUUGUAAAGUACUUUCAGCGGGGAGGAAGGGAGUAAAGUUAAUACCUUUACUCAUUGACGUUACCCGCAGAAGAAGCACCGGCUAACUCCGUGCCAGCAGCCGCGGUAAUACGGAGGGUGCAAGCGUUAAUCGGAAUUACUGGGCGUAAAGCGCACGCAGGCGGUUUGUUAAGUCAGAUGUGAAAUCCCCGGGCUCAACCUGGGAACUGCAUCUGAUACUGGCAAGCUUGAGUCUCGUAGAAGGGGGUAGAAUUCCAGGUGUAGCGGUGAAAUGCGUAGAGAUCUGGAGGAAUACCGGUGGCGAAGGCGGCCCCCUGGACGAAGACUGACGCUCAGGUGCUAAAGCGUGGGGAGCAAACAGG